GAUCAUACACAUUGAAACACUGGUUCUCAUCUGAUCACCAAAGUUAAGCAAUGUCAGUACCUUGAUGGGUGACCACUCAGGAAUAACAGGGGCUGUAAG
This is a non-coding RNA of Acanthosepion pharaonis, 99 nucleotides long. The record is from the annotation of a GenBank genome assembly. NCBI's taxonomy places the organism in Eukaryota, Metazoa, Mollusca, Cephalopoda, Sepiida, Sepiidae.